GUUAAGGAAUGCCUUCCUCAUCGAAUGAUAAGCUCCAAUUCUUAUGUUAAAUGUAUAAAUUUAGAACUUCUCCUUAUUUGUCAGUUAAAUCAAGUUGGAGGGCCAAUUUGAGUGCAGUAAAAUUAUAAGGGCUCAGUUGAAUAUUUCAAUAAAUAUUGUGGAAUUGUUUGGCCUCUUUCCCUGCUUGUUAACAUCUUUUAUUUAUUUAGUUAAAGAUGAUUUUGCUAUGAUGGGAAUGGCUCUAUCGGAAAUCUUAUUUUCUGCAGGGUUCAGUUGGCUUCUUUUGUAUCCAAUGAGUUCUCUGAAGUCUCAUAAAUUUAACAUGUGUUUUUUUUUUCUCCAGGAGGAGAAGCUAAAAGAUAAAC
This 365-nucleotide unclassified non-coding RNA is filed under the name Hevea brasiliensis (rubber tree). The record is from RNAcentral. Lineage: Eukaryota; Viridiplantae; Streptophyta; Magnoliopsida; Malpighiales; Euphorbiaceae.